CAGGCCUAACACAUGCAAGUCGAGGGGCAGCGGGUGUAGCAAUACAUGCCGGCGACCGGCGAAAGGGUGAGUAACGCGUGAGCAACAUGCCCGUAUGUGGGGGAUAGUCGAUGGAAACGUCGCGUAAUACCCCGUAACAUAUUUCCCUGCAUGGGGAGAUAUUGAAAGAUUGAUUGCAUACGGAUUGGCUCGCGUACCAUUAGGUAGACGGCGGGGUAACGGCCCACCGUGCCGACGAUGGUUAGGGGUUCUGAGAGGAAGGUCCCCCACAUUGGAACUGAGACACGGUCCAGACUCCUACGGGAGGCAGCAGUGAGGAAUAUUGGACAAUGGCCGGAAGGCUGAUCCAGCCAUGCCGCGUGCGGGAGGGCGGCCCUAUGGGUUGUAAACCGCUUUUGCAUGGGAGCAAUAAGGGUCACGUGUGGCCCGAUGAGAGUACCAUACGAAUAAGCAUCGGCUAACUCCGUGCCAGCAGCCGCGGUAAUACGGAGGAUGCAAGCGUUAUCCGGAUUUAUUGGGUUUAAAGGGUGCGUAGGCGGCUUGGUAAGCGGGAGGUGAAAUGCCGGCGCUCAACGUCGGAAGUGCCUCCCGAACUGUCGGGCUUGAAUGGUUGUGCCGUGGGAGGAAUGAGUGGUGUAGCGGUGAAAUGCUUAGAGAUCACUCAGAACACCGAUUGCGAAGGCAUCUCACGAACGACUGAUUGACGCUGAGGCACGAAAGCGUGGGGAUCAAACAGGAUUAGAUACCCUGGUAGUCCACGCAGUAAACGAUGAUGGCUAACCGCUGGUUCAAUCGGAUCAGUGGCCAAGCGAAAGCGAUAAGCCAUCCACCUGGGGAGUACGACCGCAAGGUUGAAACUCAAAGGAAUUGACGGGGGCCCGCACAAGCGGAGGAACAUGUGGUUUAAUUCGAUGAUACGCGAGGAACCUUACCCGGGCUCGAACGGUGCAGGAAGAGAUCUGGAGACAGUGACGCCCUUCGGGGCCUGCAUCGAGGUGCUGCAUGGUUGUCGUCAGCUCGUGCCGUGAGGUGUCGGCUCAAGUGCCAUAACGAGCGCAACCCUUGUCGUCAGUUGCCAUCAGGUGAAGCUGGGGACUCUGACGAGACUGCCACCGCAAGGUGUGAGGAGGGGGGGGAUGACGUCAAAUCAGCACGGCCCUUACGUCCGGGGCGACACACGUGUUACAAUGGCGGCCACAGAGGGAAGCUACCUGGUGACAGGGAGGGAAUCCCGAAAAGCCGCCUCAGUUCGGAUCGGAGUCUGCAACCCGACUCCGUGAAGCUGGAUUCGCUAGUAAUCGCGCAUCAGCCAUGGCGCGGUGAAUACGUUCCCGG
Molecule: ribosomal RNA, 1335 nt
Filed under: uncultured rumen bacterium
Lineage: Bacteria
Description: bacterial SSU rRNA
Rfam family: Bacterial small subunit ribosomal RNA
Source: RNAcentral